UGAGGAAUAUUGGUCAAUGGACGCAAGUCUGAACCAGCCAAGUAGCGUGCAGGAUGACGGCCCUAUGGGUUGUAAACUGCUUUUAUAUGGGGAUAAAGUGGGGAACGUGUUCCCUUUUGCAGGUACCAUAUGAAUAAGGACCGGCUAAUUCCGUGCCAGCAGCCGCGGUAAUACGGAAGGUUCGGGCGUUAUCCGGAUUUAUUGGGUUUAAAGGGAGCGUAGGCCGUUUGGUAAGCGUGUUGUGAAAUGUAGGAGCUCAACUUCUAGAUUGCGGCGCAACUGGUCAGACUAGAUUGCGAACAAGGUAGGCGGAAUUCAGGUUGUAGCGGGGAAAUGCUAGAUAUCAUGAAGAACUCCGAUUGCGAAGGCAGCUUACGGGAGCGCAACUGACGCUGAAGCUCGAAGGUGCGGGUAUCGAACAGG
RNAcentral lists this ribosomal RNA (423 nucleotides) under Verrucomicrobiota bacterium. RNAcentral describes it as "Verrucomicrobia bacterium partial 16S ribosomal RNA". It matches the Rfam family "Bacterial small subunit ribosomal RNA", at positions 355 to 776 of the family's 1533-position model. The record is from RNAcentral. Lineage: Bacteria; Pseudomonadati; Verrucomicrobiota.